RNAcentral lists this ribosomal RNA (332 nucleotides) under uncultured bacterium. RNAcentral's name for it is "bacterial SSU rRNA". It matches the Rfam family "Bacterial small subunit ribosomal RNA", at positions 568 to 898 of the family's 1533-position model. The record is from RNAcentral.
CGCGCAGGCGGCUGGGCAAGUGGGUGGUGAAAUCCCCGGGCUCAACCCGGGGUUGGCCACCGAGACUGUCUAGCUGGAGUGUGGGAGAGGAGGGUGGAAUUCCUGGUGUAGCGGUGAAAUGCGUAGAGAUCAGGAGGAACACCGGUGGCGAAGGCGGCUCUCUGGACCACGACUGACGCUGAGGCGCGAAAGCUAGGGGAGCAAACAGGAUUAGAUACCCUGGUAGUCCUAGCCCUAAACGAUGGAUACUUGCUGUGGGGGGUAUUAAAUCCCCCUGUGGCGGAGCUAACGCGUUAAGUAUCCCGCCUGGGGAGUACGGUCGCAAGUCUGAA